This is a long non-coding RNA of Cavia porcellus (domestic guinea pig), 653 nucleotides long. RefSeq lists it as uncharacterized. The transcript is spliced from 4 exons. The record is from RefSeq and is a predicted model, not a curated record. NCBI's taxonomy places the organism in Eukaryota, Metazoa, Chordata, Mammalia, Rodentia, Caviidae.
UCCUUCGCUGCCACUUAUUGCUUAGGCCUCUCUGCUUAGACUGUGGGCCAUGAAACAUUACUCAGAAGAAACAACUUCUGCUAUGCAACAAUUAAUAUAGAAAAGACUGUAGCAAUAGAAGAUUCCCUACUCAUGUCUCAAAAGAGAAAGCUCGAGUUCUGGAGAAGCCAUGUGAGCCCAAGCCCCCACAGGUGGGGUGGACACCUGUGGGGUGGGGUGUUCCUGCCACCUUCCUGCCACCUUUCUGUUACAACGGCCCAUCACCAGCAGAUCAGAACACUGAGUGACUCCUACACCCCGGCACUGUUUUAUUGGCAUAAGCCCCCAGGUGAUGCCGCCAGCCCAACGAGCCCACUUUGUACAACCAGAUAUUAAUACUUAUGAAGAAAACGUCCUCUCCACCAAAGGUACUCUUGCAGUCACCGUUUGAAACAUGCUAAAGCCUGGUUUAACCCGUAAGAGUUGUGACUGAUCCAUUGAAGUCGAGCACAAAUAUUUUCAUGUUGCUGCUAGGAGUUGUUUUCAUGAACAGAGUGGAAUACUAAGGCGCCAAUUCUAACAGAAUAGCCAAACAACGUAAGACCUUAAUAAUUAAAUACCAGGAAGUGAUGACCGUUGACAUCAGUUUUCAGAAUUUGGAGCACAAAGAAGUG